Molecule: transfer RNA, 82 nt
Filed under: Smittium simulii
Lineage: Eukaryota; Fungi; Kickxellomycota; Harpellomycetes; Harpellales; Legeriomycetaceae
Rfam family: tRNA
About the family: Transfer RNA (tRNA) molecules are approximately 80 nucleotides in length.
Source: Rfam by way of RNAcentral
GUCGGUUUGUCCGAGUGGUUAAGGAGACAGAUUAGAAAUCUGUUGGGCUUUGCCCGCACAGGUUCAAAUCCUGUAGCCGACG